GCCCAUGUAGCUCAGGCGGUAGAGCACUUCCUUGGUAAGGAAGAGGUCACCGGUUCAAGUCCGGUCGUGGGCU
RNAcentral lists this transfer RNA (73 nucleotides) under Caldifarciminota bacterium. RNAcentral describes it as "candidate division WOR-3 bacterium (hot springs metagenome) tRNA-Thr". It matches the Rfam family "tRNA". From Rfam's summary of the family: Transfer RNA (tRNA) molecules are approximately 80 nucleotides in length. Their secondary structure includes four short double-helical elements and three loops (D, anti-codon, and T loops). Further hydrogen bonds mediate the characteristic L-shaped molecular structure. tRNAs have two regions of fundamental functional importance: the anti-codon, which is responsible for specific mRNA codon recognition, and the 3' end, to which the tRNAs corresponding amino acid is attached (by aminoacyl-tRNA synthetases). tRNAs cope with the degeneracy of the genetic code in two manners: having more than one tRNA (with a specific anti-codon) for a particular amino acid; and 'wobble' base-pairing, i.e. permitting non-standard base-pairing at the 3rd anti-codon position. The record is from RNAcentral. Lineage: Bacteria; Pseudomonadati; Caldifarciminota.